Molecule: small RNA, 29 nt
Filed under: Bombyx mori (domestic silkworm)
Lineage: Eukaryota; Metazoa; Arthropoda; Insecta; Lepidoptera; Bombycidae
Description: ovarian small RNA-16351
Source: RNAcentral
GCACGACCGGGAACGGGUGCAGGAUCCGC